UGGGGAAUUUUGCACAAUGGGGGAAACCCUGAUGCAGCGACGCCGCGUGAUUUAGAAGGCCUUCGGGUUGUAAAAAUCUUUUCUAUGGGAAGAAAAUGACAGUACCAUAGGAAUAAGGACUGGCUAAUUACGUGCCAGCAGCCGCGGUAAUACGUAAGGUCCGAGCGUUGUCCGGAACCAUUGGGCGUAAAGGGUACGUAGGCGGGUAAGCAAGUUAGAAGUGAAAUCCUGUAGCUAAACUACAGUAAGCUUUUAAAACUGCUCAUCUUGAGAUAUGGAAGGGAAAGUGGAAUUCCUAGUGUAGCGGUGAAAUGCGCAGAUAUUAGGAGGAAUACCGGUGGCGAAGGCGACUUUCUGGCCAUAAUCUGACGCUGAGGUACGAAAGCGUGGGUAGCAAACAGG
This 402-nucleotide ribosomal RNA is filed under the name Verrucomicrobiota bacterium. Its description in RNAcentral is "Verrucomicrobia bacterium partial 16S ribosomal RNA". It matches the Rfam family "Bacterial small subunit ribosomal RNA", at positions 355 to 776 of the family's 1533-position model. Lineage: Bacteria; Pseudomonadati; Verrucomicrobiota. The record is from RNAcentral.